AACGAACGCUGGCGGCAGGCCUAACACAUGCAAGUCGAACGCACCGCAAGGUGAGUGGCGCACGGGUGAGUAACACGUGGGAAUGUACCCUUUGGUUCGGAAUAACGUUUGGAAACGAACGCUAAUACCGGAUGAGCCCUGUGGGGGAAAGAUUUAUCGCCAAAGGAGCAGCCCGCGUCUGAUUAGCUAGUUGGUGGGGUAAAGGCCUACCAAGGCGACGAUCAGUAGCUGGUCUGAGAGGAUGAUCAGCCACACUGGGACUGAGACACGGCCCAGACUCCUACGGGAGGCAGCAGUGGGGAAUAUUGGACAAUGGGCGGAAGCCUGAUCCAGCCAUGCCGCGUGAGUGAUGAAGGCCUCGGUUGUAAGUCUCUUUCGUCACGCGACGAUGAUGACGGUAGCGUGAGAGAAGCCCGGCUAACUUCGUGCCAGCAGCCGCGGUAAU
Molecule: ribosomal RNA, 445 nt
Filed under: uncultured bacterium
Lineage: Bacteria
Description: bacterial SSU rRNA
Rfam family: Bacterial small subunit ribosomal RNA
Source: RNAcentral